AUGAACGCUGGCGGCGUGCCUAAUACAUGCAAGUCGAGCGAACAGACGAGGAGCUUGCUCCUCUGAUGUUAGCGGCGGACGGGUGAGUAACACGUGGAUAACCUACCUAUAAGACUGGGAUAACUUCAGGAAACCGGAGCUAAUACCGGAUAACAUGUUGAACCGCAUGGUUCAACAGUGAAAGACGGUCUUGCUGUCACUUAUAGAUGGAUCCGCGCCGCAUUAGCUAGUUGGUAAGGUAACGGCUUACCAAGGCAACGAUGCGUAGCCGACCUGAGAGGGUGAUCGGCCACACUGGAACUGAGACACGGUCCAGACUCCUACGGGAGGCAGCAGUAGGGAAUCUUCCGCAAUGGGCGAAAGCCUGACGGAGCAACGCCGCGUGAGUGAAGAAGGUCUUCGGAUCGUAAAACUCUGUUAUUAGGGAAGAACAAAUGUGUAAGUAACGAUGCACGUCUUGACGGUACCUAAUCAGAAAGCCACGGCUAACUACGU
Molecule: ribosomal RNA, 495 nt
Filed under: uncultured bacterium
Lineage: Bacteria
Description: partial 16S ribosomal RNA
Rfam family: Bacterial small subunit ribosomal RNA
Source: RNAcentral